This 468-nucleotide ribosomal RNA is filed under the name uncultured bacterium. Its description in RNAcentral is "partial 16S ribosomal RNA". It matches the Rfam family "Bacterial small subunit ribosomal RNA", at positions 28 to 507 of the family's 1533-position model. The record is from RNAcentral.
GACGAACGCUGGCGGCGUGCUUAACACAUGCAAGUCGAACGGAAAGGCCCUGCUUUUGUGGGGUGCUCGAGUGGCGAACGGGUGAGUAACACGUGAGUAACCUGCCCUUGACUUUGGGAUAACUUCAGGAAACUGGGGCUAAUACCGGUUAGGAGCUCCUGCUGCAUGGUGGGGGUUGGAAAGUUUCGGCGGUUGGGGAUGGACUCGCGGCUUAUCAGCUUGUUGGUGGGGUAGUGGCUUACCAAGGCUUUGACGGGUAGCCGGCCUGAGAGGGUGACCGGCCACAUUGGGACUGAGAUACGGCCCAGACUCCUACGGGAGGCGGCAGUGGGGAAUAUUGCACAAUGGGCGGAAGCCUGAUGCAGCAACGCCGCGUGCGGGAUGACGGCCUUCGGGUUGUAAACCGCUUUCGCCUGUGACGAAGCGUGAGUGACGGUAAUGGGUAAAGAAGCACCGGCUAACUACGUG